This 73-nucleotide transfer RNA is filed under the name Cordylochernes scorpioides. RNAcentral's name for it is "tRNA-Gln". Lineage: Eukaryota; Metazoa; Arthropoda; Arachnida; Pseudoscorpiones; Chernetidae. The record is from RNAcentral.
CAAUCUUGAUGGGAUUCAAACCCACAAUCUAUGGCUCCAGAGGCCAACAUCUUAUCCGUUGAGCCACAGGAUC